AACCUGCAGAAAAGAGAUAACACCCAAGCAGAAUAGAAAAUAUAACCUUCCCAAUUUUGAAAGCAAAACAAAAAAACAGUGUUGAAUUGGAGAAGAUGACUUUAGCUUCUGUUGAAGGAAAGGAGCGGCUGAGUGGAGUUGCUCACGGUGAGAUUACGCUUGUUAAAGUGAUGGAAGAUGUGAGGUGAAUCGGAGGAGUAUUUCGACGGUCGAAGUGGAGAAGAAGGGUGUUGAGCGGUUAUGUUGAGAGGUUUUGCCGGCGAUUCGGUGGUCGACAGAUGGUGAGGAAGAACGCGCGGCUGGAGAUGGUGAGCGCGGUGUAGAUGUUGGCGGCUGUGGCGGUUGAUGACGGUCGGCAAUGGAUGAGGAAGAUUGAGGUUGUGGGGUAUGGUUGUUGGAUUUUAAAUAGGAAAAUGAAGGAGCGACGUUACGGUGAAAGGUUUGUGUUGUUGGAGCGUUUCGCCAGUGGUUUAUGGUGGUGAGAGCUGUUGAGGAAGACGAAGGAGGUUCCCCCAACGUGAAAAGGAGAGACUUUUUCUUUUUGUUUCUUCUUUUUCAUUGUGGAAAGUGAGUGAUA
Lathyrus oleraceus (garden pea) is the source of this 577-nucleotide long non-coding RNA. RefSeq lists it as uncharacterized. The record is from RefSeq and is a predicted model, not a curated record. NCBI's taxonomy places the organism in Eukaryota, Viridiplantae, Streptophyta, Magnoliopsida, Fabales, Fabaceae. The transcript has 2 exons.